Molecule: ribosomal RNA, 710 nt
Filed under: Streptomyces sp.
Lineage: Bacteria; Bacillati; Actinomycetota; Actinomycetes; Kitasatosporales; Streptomycetaceae
Description: bacterial SSU rRNA
Rfam family: Bacterial small subunit ribosomal RNA
Source: RNAcentral
UGCAAGUCGAACGAUGAACCACUUCGGUGGGGAUUAGUGGCGAACGGGUGAGUAACACGUGGGCAAUCUGCCCUNCACUCUGGGACAAGCCCUGGAAACGGGGUCUAAUACCGGAUACUGGAAAGCUCCGGCGGUGNAGGAUGAGCCNGCGGCCUAUCAGCUUGUUGGUGAGGUAANGGCUCACCAAGGCGACGACGGGUAGCCGGCCUGAGAGGGCGACCGGCCACACUGGGACUGAGACACGGCCCAGACUCCUACGGGAGGCAGCAGUGGGGAAUAUUGCACAAUGGGCGAAAGCCUGAUGCAGCGACGCCGCGUGAGGGAUGACGGCCUUCGGGUUGUAAACCUCUUUCAGCAGGGAAGAAGCGANAGUGACGGUACCUGCAGAAGAAGCGCCGGCUAACUACGUGCCAGCAGCCGCGGUAAUACGUAGGGCGCAAGCGUUGUCCGGAAUUAUUGGGCGUAAAGAGCUCGUAGGCGGCUUGUCACGUCGNUUGUGAAAGCCCGNGGCUUAACCNCGGGUCUGCAGUCGAUACGGGCNNGCUAGAGUNNGGUAGGGGAGAUCGGAAUUCCUGGUGUAGCGGUGAAAUGCGCAGAUAUCAGGAGGAACACCGGUGGCGAAGGCGGAUCUCUGGGCCNNUACUGACGCUGAGGAGCGAAAGCGUGGGGAGCGAACAGGAUUAGAUACCCUGGUAGUCCACGCCGUAAAC